Long non-coding RNA from Lynx canadensis (Canada lynx), 3058 nucleotides. RefSeq lists it as uncharacterized. The record is from RefSeq and is a predicted model, not a curated record. Lineage: Eukaryota; Metazoa; Chordata; Mammalia; Carnivora; Felidae. The transcript has 7 exons.
GUCAUCUCCAGAGAGUGGUAAUGAGGGGAGACAGGGAGGAUGAAUUAUCUUUGCUUUUAUUCACGUUUUUAGGUGUUGCUUCACUUGCUCCAACAAAUACGUAUUAAUUCUCUAAUCUGUAAAUGAUCGAGUAAAGAAAAAAAAAUUGUUGAGACUAAAAAGACGUCUGCUGUGCGUGUGACCUGGCCCUGUCACUGCAGCAUGGGUGGAGAUUUGUUAGGCAGCGGAGCGGGCUGUUACCUGAGUCCCUGCUAACUCGGACAGAGGAACCCCUGGAAGUCCCUGACCGUCACACCUGGGCCCCGCAGAGUGCUGGGCUCAUUGGCACGUCACACUUAGAUGACAGGGGUAGCCGUGCCUUCUUGGCAGGCAGGACUCUAGCCAACAGGUAAGACCUUUCCAGGCUGGGAGUAAACAUAGGCCGCCUUUCCAGAUCAGGUGAGCAUCGCCACCUGGCAGGGAGGAGGCACGGAUUCGUUGCAGGAGAAAGAACUUGAGCUUGGGGCAGGAGGAAAAAUGAGAACUUGAGUUCAAGGGCUGCCACUGCCGCCAUGAAAUGAAGUAUCUGACUGGGACUUUUUGCUUUUACAUCAGGGAAAGCUGCUUUAAGGCAAUCCUGUUUCCUAUGUCUUUCAUGUUCCACUGUCCUGUGAUCUGGGGACAGAGUAGGGGAACAAGAUUGAGCUGAUCUCUGACUUUCUGGAGCUACACUGGAGUUGGGGAGAUGGACGGAUGGUACACCAUGGACCGAGCAGAGAGAAAGAUUGCUCCGAAGGAAACCAAAAAGAGUGGGAAGAUCAGGACUGGCCUAUUUUGGAUCCGGAGGUAAUGGGACGUCUUCCUGAGGAGAGGAUGCUUUAAACCGAGUCAGGAAUGAAGAGAAGGGGCCCGCAGGCCCUCAGUGGAUUGGAUGAUGCCUACUGGUGAGGGUGACCUUCUAUACUCAUCUACUGGUUGAAACGCUAGUCUCUUCCAGAAACAUCCUCACAGACACAUCCAGAAGUAAUGUUUUACCAGGCUUCUGUAGAUGUUAACUUAGACUUGCGGCAGGAGACUGGUUUUGUGUGAGUUUGUUUGGGGAAGAAAAUGGAGGUUCCACUAUCUUCUGGGAGUUUUCCGUGGGCACUGACAGCCUGCUCGUGUGCCCAGGGCCGAAAUCUGUUAUUCCAUCUCAAUCCUAGAACCCACGAUCACAGCUCAUCCUGGGUUUAAAGGAGGGCCUAUGAGAUGAGAAGCUUUUUGGACAUAUGACCAACAUUCAGAUAAAACACCUGCUCCCACCGAGAACCUUCAAAGCCAAUUUCAUCUGCUUUUGGCCCCUUCAGAGUAGCUGCAAUUGAAGGAUAAAUGCUCCAUGCCAGUUGGUGUUUGUUCAGAGGACACUGGAAGAAGAGGGACAAAGGUGGCUUGGAUGUUGAUCCGCGAGCCUAAGUCUAUGGUUCUCUGAAGCAAAGGUGCCAGUGAAGUUGCCUCAUAAAAAAAAAAACAAAAAACCUUCCAGAAUCUUCCAUUGGAGAAUUGUCACCUGCAAAGACCUCUGAGAGUGGCCAUCAUCUCAAAGAGACCGGGUGAGAAGGUGGCAGGUGCUGAAUGGAAACGCCAACAGACAGAAUUGGAGAGGAGCACUUGGUAGGACGCUUCCUAAAAACCCUGCUUUGCCUCAUCGGUAUGCUGUUCCGGAACAGUUCUGCCUGACGCGGUGCUCCCGCAGGAUGCUCUCCAGGAACAUUCCGGUUAGCCUACCUCAGAAGAGUAACAGCCUGUGCGUGAACCCGUUACCCUCAAGACUUUGCUCUUCUUCCCACAAUACCUUUUGGUGGCCAGUCGACUUCUUCGACUUCCUGUUAGCUUUUCAAAUGGUUGAUUUAGAAACUCAAGUUAUUCUAGCCUUGGUUAUGUGGUCUCAGGAUUCUCACAACUAGUUUUCCUCGUUAUGAAUAUUGAGAAGAGUUUGUUGGCAUGUUGUAUGAUGAGGAAGGAGCCCUGGGAUGGGAGUCCAAAGGUGUUGUAAACUGGGGCGGGGUACUUCAUCUCUCUGAACCUCAGCCUUGUCAACAAGAGGGUGGGUUAAAGUGCUUCUUACUACCAAAUCCUAGAAGUCCUAAGAACUGUGCUCCAGAGGAGAAAACACACAUUGGCAAAUGUGGAUUUAUUCACUCUUCCGCCAUGCGUUUGUAGACUGGUUUGAGAGAGUUCUGAAUUCACCUAGUAAUAACAUUAGCUUAAUUUCAUAUGGAAGGACACAGGUUCCACGGCUUAACCACAAAACUUGUACCCUGGUUGACUUCCACCCUUUCCCUAACAAAGUAGAUGAAUUAAUCCAGACAAUUACUGUCAGGUGAAGGGGCAAGGUUGGAGAUUCUCUGAGAAAUCUGAUGGUUGUACAGAUGAUAGGGUUAAUUUGCAAGACCUCGUAUGGAACACUUUCAUUAUUUCGGUUGCUAUUAUAGUUAGAUAGUGCUGGCUGGGUAGAAAUCUAUUAAUGUUAUAAAGUUUGGGUCAAUUUACCAAUGGAAAGGACAGCACCAUUCUAGGUUUUUUUCCCCCCUCUCUUUCUAGAAACCAUAGCAUUUAGAGAAAUUAUAUGAUGAUAUUGGACAAAUAUAGCCAAACCCAAUCAGCCCAAAAGUAGUGGAAAAGCAAACCAUUAAAACCCUCUCCCAAACAGAAGCCUAUUGGGAAGCAAUGUAUAAAUAGAGGAAAGCUUAUGAAAUGAAAUAGACAGGAUAUAAAAUUUCCAUAUCCUCAAUCCCGCAACAAGGACUUUUCCUACAUAUAUUGCCAUUACCCUGAUAAGAUUGGGAGUUGACCAGUGGCUCUAUGAAUUUAAAGCAAAUGGUGACAAUUAGGUCCUCAGGGUAUACCCUCAUCUUCUUCAUUCACUGCAUAGCCAUUAUUUUGGAGUUUUCAUUUAUAUUUUUAUGUUUAUGGUCCUUGGAGGAGGCUGAAUACUACAUUUUGACGGUGGAAUCUGAAAGAGCUACAAUUCUAGAUUCCGUAAAUACUUCUUGAUCAUAGAAACGCCUUAGUUUUUGGGGCGCCUGGGUGGCUCAGUCUG